GGUUCUGCUCCAUCAUCCUGGGCUCCCACCCAUUCGGAUGUCACCAUCCCACAUUCAGCGAGACGAUGCAGCUGGGUCAUCAUUGUCAGACAGAGAGAAAUGCAGCUUGUAAUAGCUCGAUAAGGUUAUUUGCGGUUGGUUAAUACCAAUGCAGACAAUACUACGGGGACCUUCUGAAAAGAAAAUGAAACUCAAGCUGUGGAAGGCAGGGAGGAUUAUCUGCAGGAUUUGCCCACAGCAGAACCCAACCUACUUCUGUGAUAGGACACAUAAGAUCUUACAAGGCAAGUGGUGCCGGCUAGCCAGAUGAAC
RNAcentral lists this long non-coding RNA (312 nucleotides) under Chrysemys picta bellii (western painted turtle). RNAcentral describes it as "lncRNA (ENSCPBG00000001131.1)". The record is from RNAcentral. Lineage: Eukaryota; Metazoa; Chordata; Testudines; Emydidae.